Molecule: ribosomal RNA, 460 nt
Filed under: uncultured bacterium
Lineage: Bacteria
Description: partial 16S ribosomal RNA
Rfam family: Bacterial small subunit ribosomal RNA
Source: RNAcentral
CCUACGGGUGGCAGCAGUGAGGAAUAUUGGUCAAUGGACGAGAGUCUGAACCAGCCAAGUAGCGUGAAGGAUGACUGCCCUAUGGGUUGUAAACUUCUUUUAUAUGGGAAUACAAUGUUCCAUGUGUGGUAUUUAGUAUGUACCAUAUUAAUAAGGAUCGGCUAACUUCGUGCCAGCAGCCGCGGUAAUAUGGAGGAUUCGAGCGUUUUCCGGAUUUAUUGGGUUUAAAGGGAGCGUAGGUGGAUAGUUAAGUAAGUUGUGAAAGUUUGCGGCUCAACCGUGAAAUUGCAGUUGAAACUGGCAGUCUUGAGUACAGUAGAGGUGGGCGGAAGUCGUGGUGUAGCGGUGAAAUGCUUAGAUAUCACGAAGAACACCGAUUGCGAAGGCAGUUCACUGGACUGCAACUGACACUGAGGCUCGAAAGUGUGGGGAUCAAACAGGAUUAGAUACCCUAGUAGUC